CACCACUCAAGCCUGGCUUGGUGUUGGGCGACGUCCCCUUUGGGGACGCGCCUCGAAACGCUCGGCGGCGUGGCACCGGCUUUAAGCGUAGCAGAAUCUUUCGCUUUGGAAGUCGGGGCCCCGUCUGCCGGAAGACCUAUUCGCAA
Molecule: unclassified non-coding RNA, 146 nt
Filed under: uncultured Cenococcum
Lineage: Eukaryota; Fungi; Ascomycota; Dothideomycetes; Gloniales; Gloniaceae
Description: sequence contains ITS2
Source: RNAcentral